Molecule: ribosomal RNA, 497 nt
Filed under: uncultured bacterium
Lineage: Bacteria
Description: partial 16S ribosomal RNA
Rfam family: Bacterial small subunit ribosomal RNA
Source: RNAcentral
GAUGAACGCUGGCGGCGUGCCUAAUACAUGCAAGUCGAGCGAACAGACGAGGAGCUUGCUGCUCUGACGUUAGCGGCGGACGGGUGAGUAACACGUGGAUAACCUACCUAUAAGACUGGGAUAACUUCGGGAAACCGGAGCUAAUACCGGAUAAUAUCUUGAACCGCAUGGUUCAAUAGUGAAAGACGGUUUUGCUGUCACUUAUAGAUGGAUCCCCGCUGCAUUAGCUAGUUGGUAAGGUAACGGCUUACCAAGGCAACGAUGCGUAGCCGACCUGAGAGGGGGAUCGGCCACACUGGAACUGAGACACGGUCCAGACUCCUACGGGAGGCAGCAGUAGGGAAUCUUCCGCAAUGGGCGAAAGCCUGACGGAGCAACGCCGCGUGAGUGAUGAAGGUCUUCGGAUCGUAAAACUCUGUUAUUAGGGAAGAACAUAUGUGUAAGUAACUGUGCACGUCUUGACGGUACCUAAUCAGAAAGCCACGGCUAACUACGUG